Non-coding RNA from Gossypium arboreum, 144 nucleotides. The record is from Rfam. NCBI's taxonomy places the organism in Eukaryota, Viridiplantae, Streptophyta, Magnoliopsida, Malvales, Malvaceae.
AAUUAAAAAUUUCAUCCAAUUCUAUUGUUAAAAAUAAAUAUUACUAACAGAAUAGCUAGAUAAUUAUAUAUGACUGUCACGUGCACCUCAUUUUGAUAUACAAUGACUAAUUUUUAAUAGUAUAAAUGGAUGAAAUUUUUAAUA